AUGUAGUACAUGAAGUCUUGGCAAAAAAAGGUGUGCAAGAUGAAAAUGCAAUAAGGUUUCAUUAUUGACAACAUGAGAAAGUUUGCUAGAAUUAUUCUUACAAACAUUAUUAAUAGCAAUAAUGCUCUCAGUUCUAAAAAAUUGUAGAUGGUGUAAUCCAUUAUGAUGUUCAGCUGUACUAAUCAUCUUCCUAGUUAGAGCAUUCUGAAUCAAAUAAUGGUUACUAUUAAAAGUCAGGCACGAAGAAGAAAUAUGUAAUAAUUUGCUAAUAGAAAUGAGAUUAAGUGAAUAAAUGGGUACAAAAAGGGCAUCAUAUAAAGUAAAGUUAGGUAUAAGAUGCACAUCUCCAACAUUAGUUGCACCUAUAAUUUGUGCAUUUGGUAGCUUGAUAUGUGUGCUACGUAUAGGUCUAAAGUAAGUGACAAAUUCAAUAGAACUUACUAUAUGGUCUGUAGCCCCAAAGUAAAAAAUCUAGUCACCUUUUUUGGCUGUAUUUAAUUAUUGUAAAGUGAGGAAAUUAUUAUCUUGUUCAGCACAUGGAUUAAAAUUGACUGAAAGAUUAUUUAUUUGUAGCAUAGCUGCAUUACUGUAUGUGG
This 596-nucleotide long non-coding RNA is filed under the name Carica papaya (papaya). RNAcentral's name for it is "long non-coding RNA (CPAP_LNC004202)". Lineage: Eukaryota; Viridiplantae; Streptophyta; Magnoliopsida; Brassicales; Caricaceae. The record is from RNAcentral.